GCCUGGGUGGCUCAGUCGGUUGAGCGUCCGACUUCCGCUCAGGUCAUGAUCUCACGGUCUGUGAGUUCGAGUCCCGCAUCAGGCU
RNAcentral lists this transfer RNA (85 nucleotides) under Felis catus (domestic cat). It matches the Rfam family "tRNA". Rfam says of the family: Transfer RNA (tRNA) molecules are approximately 80 nucleotides in length. The record is from Rfam by way of RNAcentral. Lineage: Eukaryota; Metazoa; Chordata; Mammalia; Carnivora; Felidae.